RNAcentral lists this ribosomal RNA (274 nucleotides) under uncultured bacterium. Its description in RNAcentral is "partial 16S ribosomal RNA". It matches the Rfam family "Bacterial small subunit ribosomal RNA", at positions 523 to 796 of the family's 1533-position model. The record is from RNAcentral.
AUACGGAGGGUGCGAGCGUUAAUCGGAAUUACUGGGCGUAAAGCGUACGUAGGCGGUUUGCUAAGUCAGAUGUGAAAGCCCCGGGCUUAACCUAGGAACUGCAUUUGAUACUGGCAGACUAGAGUAUGAUAGAGGGGGGUAGAAUUCCUGGUGUAGCGGUGAAAUGCGUAGAUAUCAGGAGGAAUACCAGUGGCGAAGGCGGCCCCCUGGAUCAAUACUGACGCUGAGGUACGAAAGCGUGGGGAGCGAACAGGAUUAGAAACCCCAGUAGUCC